ACUGAGGCAUAAGACCUCACUGAGGCAGAAUACCUCACUGAGGAAGAAGGCCGGCGAAGAUCUCAAAGAUCUCCCGGAGCAAAAACGGCCGGGAUCCCCAAGAUCGUCCGGUGCCACAAGCAAAAACAACUCAUAAGAACAUAGUUCCGAUCUCACAUAAAAGAUUGGGGCACGGGAUCAUAAAUGAAAAGCUAAACUC
Molecule: long non-coding RNA, 199 nt
Filed under: Manihot esculenta (cassava)
Lineage: Eukaryota; Viridiplantae; Streptophyta; Magnoliopsida; Malpighiales; Euphorbiaceae
Description: long non-coding RNA (MESC_LNC002133)
Source: RNAcentral